UUGGACAUCAAACAAGAGAAGAAGGACCUUUAAUGAAAUAACUUACAUUUUUUCUACCAAUAUCCCAUCAGCCGAAACUACUCUCUCUCCCCACUCCUCCAACACUCUGGAAUAUAAAACAGAUUUAUGAGUAACCACCACUCUGUUAGGUGCACUUUGAAUUUAGUUCUUUCAAAGAGAAACGGGAAUGGGACUGUAGCCACCUCAAGAAAUGAUACUGGCAAAAGACACAUUUGGUAUUCCUAUUUUAUUGCCACAAUAUGCUGAAUUUUGUCUAUAUUAAGGAAAAGGUUUCAGCCAACAACCUGCGUCAACAACCACACAUGUGAGGAAAGAUGUCUUCUGAAGAUUCCAGCCUCCAGCCAGCAAGCCUUUCCAAGUAUAACCCUAGGACACAAAUCAAAAUUACUCAGAAUUUGAAGAGCCAGGAAAAUAUCAACUUGAGUGGGAAAAGGCAAUCAACAUAUGCCCUUUAUUGUGCAAAACUCGGGUAACAGGUAAACAAGAUUAACAGGGACCGCUAGGAUCAAGAAAUGGAAGAUGCCUCCCUACAUACAUCUGAGAUGAAUCCACAAAGAUAUCAAUGCCUCAAGAGCCUUGCCGAAUUCCACCUGCUGUCCUGGGAUCUCCGCCUUCCCCAUAGAACCAAGCGUGGGCUAGUCCCCUGGAGGAUGAGAUCUCACAUAGUCCAUAAUCAAAUGGGUCUCCUUCCUAGCCAGUAAUACUGCAGACAAACGAGAGUUCCAGCAAACGUCAUCGUAAUGAAGAGAUCCCAUCCUUCAUGGUCACACUCACAGCAAUAUUUCAUCUACUCCUCUCUCCUUCAUCUGUUGUCUGUCUUUUCCGUGACUUUUCCUUCAACCUUCCUGUUUUUGAAUGCAUUUUGAUGUUAUCAUAUAGCAUAAUAGCUCUAUGUCUCCUUCACUCUAUAUAAAGCUCUUCAGCAACGGGAAA
This is a long non-coding RNA of Homo sapiens (human), 954 nucleotides long. NCBI's taxonomy places the organism in Eukaryota, Metazoa, Chordata, Mammalia, Primates, Hominidae. The record is from Ensembl.